Molecule: ribosomal RNA, 628 nt
Filed under: uncultured bacterium
Lineage: Bacteria
Description: bacterial SSU rRNA
Rfam family: Bacterial small subunit ribosomal RNA
Source: RNAcentral
AUGCUUAACACAUGCAAGUCGAACGAUGAACACCGGAGCUUGCUCUGGUGGGAUUAGUGGCGAACGGGUGAGUAACACGUGAGCAAUCUGCCCUUGACUCUGGGAUAAGCGUUGGAAACGAUGUCUAAUACCGGAUACGACCUCUCUUGGCAUCAAGCGGAGGUGGAAAGAUUUAUCGGUCAAGGAUGAGCUCGCGGCCUAUCAGCUAGUUGGUGAGGUAACGGCUCACCAAGGCGACGACGGGUAGCCGGCCUGAGAGGGUGACCGGCCACACUGGGACUGAGACACGGCCCAGACUCCUACGGGAGGCAGCAGUGGGGAAUAUUGCACAAUGGGCGCAAGCCUGAUGCAGCAACGCCGCGUGAGGGACGAAGGCCUUCGGGUUGUAAACCUCUUUUAGCAGGGAAGAAGCGCAAGUGACGGUACCUGCAGAAAAAGCACCGGCUAACUACGUGCCGGCAGCCGCGGUAAUACGUAGGGUGCAAGCGUUGUCCGGAAUUAUUGGGCGUAAAGAGCUCGUAGGCGGUUUGUCGCGUCUGCUGUGAAAAUCCGAGGCUCAACCUCGGACCUGCAGUGGGUACGGGCAAACUAGAGUGCGGUAGGGGAGAUUGGAAUUCCUGGUGUAGCG